AAGACUGUACUUUCAGAGAUUGUUUUUAAAGUUGGUAGCUAGAAAAAUGUACUUGAAAGUGGUUGGUCUUACUAGCUAUGAGAAUGAAUCACAAUGUUCUCUUCUGAGCAUGAAGCAAGCAGAUAGUGUUGUUUUAAUGUAAUUGCUGUUGGUGAUUGUUCCUUUUUUCCUGUUGGGAAGCUGGAGGAAGAGAGCACAGGCUGAGUGC
This 208-nucleotide small nucleolar RNA is filed under the name Pelodiscus sinensis (Chinese soft-shelled turtle). RNAcentral's name for it is "Small nucleolar RNA U3 (ENSPSIG00000019675.1)". It matches the Rfam family "Small nucleolar RNA U3". Rfam says of the family: Small nucleolar RNAs (snoRNAs) are involved in the processing and modification of rRNA in the nucleolus. There are two main classes of snoRNAs: the box C/D class, and the box H/ACA class. The record is from Rfam by way of RNAcentral. Lineage: Eukaryota; Metazoa; Chordata; Testudines; Trionychidae.